CUGCUCCUGCUGCUUUGCCGGGGGCAGAGCCGUCCCCGUGCAGCGUGAUCCCGGCACCCGCGGAGCAUCCAGCAGCUGCCGGGCACUUGCAGCCCUCUCAGGAGUUGUCUUCUUUCUCUCCAGGCGGCUGACUACUGUUGUUUCAAGGGUACCGUUUCCCAUCUCAUCACAGAAACACUGUACCUUCCUGGAGUAUGGAAUCUGUAUGGCAGCGAAGGUGGUAUCUUCAGCUGGGCUGUAUAUUGAUACUGAAUUUGGUUUAUGCCAAUCUAGACUAUCAGAAAGAAACUCCUCCAAGCCUGGGUCAGAUUGACCAUCAGUGCUGGGAGGUGUCAUCCCAUGGGCUGGUGGAAAUGAAGAAACUCAAGGUCGCAGACACGGUUAUUGCUCUCUGGGACUUCAUGAUGUUCCUAAAGGAAUCCCCUAAGCCCAAGCACAACGAACUCUUCAAUCAUUUAGCCCAGAACUUCUGGGAUAUGUAUGUAGACUGCGUGCUCUCAAGAUCCCAUGGAAUGGGCAGAAGACAAUUAAUGUCUCCCAAAUACUCUUCCACAUACUCACAUAGAACUUUAGAAGGGUCCGCUUUCACCAACCCAUUUUAGGCCAAAAGGGGAGAAAAUGAAGAUACCUCAGCAAGGCAACAUCAAAACGAAGGAACACAAAAGCACAGCCUAUACUGUAGACGCUUAGACAAAUCCAUAGCAUGGUUCAACCUGUUUUUUUUUCCUCUGUAUAAAGUACUUUAAUCACUGCUAAACUGAUAAGUGCAUGAACUCCCACGUUGUCACUUUUGCUUUCCUGUCUUGCAAACUCCCAGGGUUGCCUUUUUCCCACUGCAUGUGUGAAUGCUUUUAUGUUUACCUUUGUUCUCUCAGGUAAGCUUGUAA
Opisthocomus hoazin is the source of this 887-nucleotide non-coding RNA. The record is from RefSeq and is a predicted model, not a curated record. Lineage: Eukaryota; Metazoa; Chordata; Aves; Opisthocomiformes; Opisthocomidae.